Molecule: ribosomal RNA, 455 nt
Filed under: Conasprella elokismenos
Lineage: Eukaryota; Metazoa; Mollusca; Gastropoda; Neogastropoda; Conidae
Description: partial 12S ribosomal RNA
Source: RNAcentral
AUCUGAGUAUUAAUAAAUAAUCUAAUUAUGGCUGCUUUAGUUGAAUCUGUGACAUCUUUAAGGGAAACUGGGAUUUGAUACCCCRUUAUUUUUAGUUAUAAAUUUAAUUUAAUUUACCAGAGUACUACGAACACAAAGUUUAAAACUCAAAGGGSUUGGCGGUGUUUUAGACCACUCAUGGGAACCUGUCUCGUAAUCGAUGAUCCACGUUAAACCUGACCUUUUUUUGCAUUCAGCUUGUAUACCGUCGUCGUCAGGUAACUUCUAAAAAAUUAAAAGUUAGCGAAAGAAUUUGUAAAUUAUAAUGUCAGAUCAGGGUGCAGCUUAUAAAAAGGGGAGGAUGGGUUACAAUUAUAAAUCUUAAUUACGGAAGAUCGUUAGAAUUGAUCGAUCUGAAGGAGGACUUGAAAGUAAUUUUGAGUAUAUAAAUUAUAUGAAUAAGGCUCUGAAAUGUG